GUAUAGCGAAAGCUAGUUGUAUUAUUAGUUAAUGCAAGAUCGACUACGUCGACUAAAGUUCUAGGUAGAAUAAUGAUGAUGACAAUUUUUUACCUAUAUGUCUUGACCAAGUCUCGUGCCAGCAGUCGCGGUAAUACGUGGAAGACUAGUGUUAUUCAUCUUUAUUAGGUUUAAAGGGUACCUAGACGGUAUUUCUAGCCCAAAAUAGGGUACGGAUUUACUAGAGUUUUAUGUGAGGAGGGGAGUACUCGUGGAGUAGAGAUGAAAUUUUGUUAUACUAUGAGGUAACUGGUGGCGGCGAAAGCAACCUUCUAUGUAUAAACUGACGUUGAGGGACGAAGGCUUGGGUAGCAAAUAGGAUUAGAUACCCUAGUAGUCCAAGCAGACAAUUCUGAAUGCCAUAGAUUAGAUUAUUUUUGAUCUAUAAAUGAAAGUGUAAGCAUUCCACCUUAGGAGUAAUGUGGCAACACAGGAACUGAAAUCAUUAGACCGUUUCUGAAACCAGUAGUGAAGUAUGUUAUUUAAUUUGAUGGUCCACAAAAAACCUUACCACAACUUGAAUAUUUUUUAAUUAAUACAAGCGUUGCACGGCUGUCUUCAGUUAAUGUCGUGAGAUUUUGGUUAACUCCAUUAAUUAACGUAAACCCUUACUUUAUUUAU
This 660-nucleotide ribosomal RNA is filed under the name Acarospora ryanii. Its description in RNAcentral is "SSU rRNA". It matches the Rfam family "Bacterial small subunit ribosomal RNA", at positions 370 to 1118 of the family's 1533-position model. The record is from RNAcentral. Lineage: Eukaryota; Fungi; Ascomycota; Lecanoromycetes; Acarosporales; Acarosporaceae.